GUAAACUGUUAUUUUAAUUUGUAUAUCUUCAUUCUCAUACUUUCGUAAUUUAGAAAUAUUAUACAUUUGAUAUGAGCAAUGUUUUUUGUUUGGAUCGGUCGAAGAAUCAAUAUGAACUUUUGUUCACAAAUAUUCUUUUAUAUAACAAAAUCAAAUAUCAUAAUAUACAUGCCUAACCUUGCACGUUCGCACUCUUUUUUGUUGAAUGGAUCUAGUCACACCUACACUUCCCAACUCAAAGAGAGGUCAAAGCAUGACCAUAUUAGAAAGUGACCAUACUGAUGUCAGUGGGAAUCAAAAGCAGAGAAUUCGCACAUCAACUGUUGUGUUCCAUUUGUAUUUUUGAUUUGCAGCCAAUCAAAUUAACAUAUAUGGCGAUGAAGAAAACAAAAAAGCUGGUUUAUUUAUGACAUUUUGUUUGUAGGAACGAUAUUCGGCAGUUUUUUAGUUUAGGGAUACAUUAAUUGCAGCGAUAUUUUGUUUCUUUUUUGUAUGUUAUGACUCAGUUGGGAGUCUGGUCAUUUGUUAUCUGUGGUGCGAUUUUGAAUUAUUUAUUUUAUAAAAAAAAAUUUGGUUCAGUUAUUCCUCAGUGAAAUUGAAUGUAAAAAGAGUAUUUGCCUUCCACCGAUGAGUAUAUAUACUACAAACAAAAAUGUAAUGUUUUUUUAUUCAUUUUAACGUUGAAAAAUGUAAUGUUUUGGCCCAGUUUAGUGGUAAUUUUUGAAAGAAAAUUGUAUGCAAAAGAGUAAUAUAUUUCAAUAGAAUAUUUCCAUUUGUUUUAUUUACUGGUGUGAGACUUGAUGUCGGAGUUGAAGUUUAAAGCAUUUUUAUAAACAAUGAUCGCAUCGCAUACAUAAACAUUUCUCUUUUCGAUUGUGUUUACAUAAAACGUUUCGACCGACUUCGUGUGAUAGCUAUGUGUGUUUGUUGAUUAACAGUAUGUUUCGUAAGCAAUAACAGCAUUUGAUACAACGUAUUGAUUAUUCAUAUGCAUUUCUGUCUACAUAUACAUUAUGUAUCACUCUGUGUAUUCACUCAGAUUUUUCUUAAUUUGCUUGUGUCAGCAAAAUUCAAAUUUCAACAGAAAAUCACACAUCUCUCUUUGUUUAUAAUUUUAUAUUUCGAUUUUGAUCAUCGGCCAUUUUUAAUGAACGUUUACUUUUGUCGAUUCAACAAUAAUUCCCUAUAAAUUCGGGUGCAUUUUUGAGGUGAUUACACAGUUUAGCAAAGAAUUUCACAGCACCUUGUGUUCCAAUUGCCGACCAUUGCAUCGUGAACAUAACAUUUUCGAACGCGCUUUUUGUCAUUUUGCAGUGAAAGUGCUGUUGAUUAAAUUUUCAUUACAAUGAAGAGGAGACGUGCAAAAAUAAAUACAGCCUUUAAGAAAAAUACAACAAAAUUGAAGGACAAUGACGAGUUGCGAUCGAUAAAACUGUCAGCGCCUUCAGUGUUCAAGUCUGAAUAUUCAGAAACGCUUACAGAGCAUUUUUUCCAUAAAUGCUACGAUGGUACAGUGAUAUGCUACCUAGGUUAGACAUUGUUUUUAUAUUCUGUCAAUAUAAUAUAUUGGAGUACUUCUUGCAAAUGAUUCGCUAUCAGUUGAACGAAGACCCGAAUCGGCGCAUAAAAUUUGAUGGAACUGACAUGAGGAAUGCAAAGAACAAUCCUAUGAGCUGUAUGAACAAGUCGCCGUACGCUGUUUACCAUCAUUUCGCAACCAUUUGUCAAUGAUUGAAUACAUCGAGAAAAAGUGGUUUGAAUCGUUGUGGUUUUUCAUCUUCAUUCAACGUGAAAUAAGUAUAUUUUUGGAAGAGCAUCACGAUCUUGUGCAAUUAUGGCUACGACACCAACGCCAUCCGCUUUUUUAUUGCGAACCAUCCAAACCAUUGCUACCAAAAAUAAGAAAUUUCACCGUCAUACCGAUAUGUGACUCGCAGCUGAUGAGCCUGCUGGCCCAAUGGAAAGUUGUGUCGAAGAUAUUCAACAAUGAUGAUGGAGGGCAUAAUAUGUAUAGCCGUAACUAUUACGAGGAGAACGAAGAUGAAGCAUGGGCCAUUUUGUUCAACAUGGACAAAAUCAACGAGAUCAAGAAACCGAACCAAAACUUUCAUCACAUGAUAGUUUGUGAUAGUGUUUCCGCGUCGGUAUUGUACAGAGCACCAAAGCCUGAGAUCGAGAAUACGGAGCUGCAUCGACAAAGAAUCAAGCAAAAACUCGAGAACAAUGAGUAUAAAUACAUCGUCGCAAUUGAUCCCGGUAUGAAAACAUACUUAGCCGGAAUUCGUCGGAAUAUUGAAGAUCGUACUGAGGAAAAUUUCAAGAUAUCUCCGAAGUCAUAUCAUUGGGGUGCCGGACAAAAAGUCAGAGGCUGCAUAUGCUCGGCGACGAUAUGCACGGCUUUCGUUUGACAAAUUGUAGCGUAACGUUAAGUCGCAACGACCAAGCGUACGCAAUACGAAUUCAAUUGAAUAAAGUGUCUCUUACUAUCCACA
Long non-coding RNA from Contarinia nasturtii (swede midge), 2492 nucleotides. RefSeq lists it as uncharacterized. NCBI's taxonomy places the organism in Eukaryota, Metazoa, Arthropoda, Insecta, Diptera, Cecidomyiidae. The transcript has 4 exons. The record is from RefSeq and is a predicted model, not a curated record.